This 290-nucleotide long non-coding RNA is filed under the name Ananas comosus (pineapple). RNAcentral's name for it is "long non-coding RNA (ACOM_LNC019666)". Lineage: Eukaryota; Viridiplantae; Streptophyta; Magnoliopsida; Poales; Bromeliaceae. The record is from RNAcentral.
AAGACUUCAAGACUCCUAAUUUUGUCUAAGUCAUAGAGUUUGUUUUAGGGGUUUUAAGUUUUGAUGUUGUAAUUUUGAACUUCAUAUUGUAUUUGGAUUAUACGCGAAGGGUUCAAUGUUUUGGUAAUGAUGUUGAAUUUUGUUGUUCAUUUAUGAUGUAAUUUUUGAGUUUUUGAGUUUUGUCACGAAAUUGCCAAAGGGGGAGAUUGUUAAGUAUUAUGUGUUGGCAAGUUUCGUGAAUUGAGUCGGAGUCUUGAAAGAUCGAUGCAUAUUGUUGAAGAUCGAGGAAU